GCAUAUCAAUAAGCGGAGGAAAAGAAACCAACAGGGAUUGCCUCAGUAACGGCGAGUGAAGCGGCAAGAGCUCAAAUUUGAAAUCUGGCCCCUCCGGGGUCCGAGUUGUAAUUUGUAGAGGAUGCUUCGGGUGCGGCCCCCGUCUAAGUGCUCUGGAACGGGCCAUCGGAGAGGGUGAGAAUCCCGUCUGGGACGGGGUGUCCGCGUCCAUGUGAAGCUCCUUCGACGAGUCGAGUUGUUUGGGAAUGCAGCUCUAAAUGGGUGGUAAAUUUCAUCUAAAGCUAAAUACUGGCCGGAGACCGAUAGCGCACAAGUAGAGUGAUCGAAAGAUGAAAAGCACUUUGAAAAGAGAGUUAAACAGCACGUGAAAUUGUUGAAAGGGAAGCGCUUGCGACCAGACUCGCUUCCGGGGUUCAGCCGGCUUUCGGGCCGGUGUACUUCCCCGGGGGCGGGCCAGCGUCGGUUUGGGCGGCCGGUCAAAGGCCCCUGGAAUGUAACGCCCCUCGGGGCGCCUUAUAGCCAGGGGUGUCAUGCGGCCAGCCUGGACCGAGGAACGCGCUUCGGCACGGACGCUGGCAUAAUGGUCGUAAACGACCCGUCUUGAAACACGGACCAAGGAGUCUAACAUCUACGCGAGUGUUCGGGUGUCAAACCCGUGCGCGCAGUGAAAGCGAACGGAGGUGGGAGCCCCCUCGAGGGGCGCACCAUCGACCGAUCCUGAUGUCUUCGGAUGGAUUUGAGUAAGAGCGUAGCUGUGGGGACCCGAAAGAUGGUGAACUAUGCCUGAAUAGGGCGAAGCCAGAGGAAACUCUGGUGGAGGCUCGCAGCGGUUCUGACGUGCAAAUCGAUCGUCAAAUUUGGGUAUAGGGGCGAAAGACUAAUCGAACCAUCUGGUAGCUGGUUCCUGCCGAG
RNAcentral lists this ribosomal RNA (912 nucleotides) under Aspergillus glaucus. RNAcentral describes it as "LSU rRNA". It matches the Rfam family "Eukaryotic large subunit ribosomal RNA", at positions 38 to 965 of the family's 3401-position model. Lineage: Eukaryota; Fungi; Ascomycota; Eurotiomycetes; Eurotiales; Aspergillaceae. The record is from RNAcentral.